CAGCAGCCGCGGGAAUACGAAGGGUGCAAGCGUUAAUCGGAAUUACUGGGCGUAAAGCGUGCGUAGGCGGUGAGUUAAGUCUGCUGUGAAAUCCCCGGGCUCAACCUGGGAAUGGCAGUGGAUACUGGCUCGCUAGAGUGUGUCAGAGGAUGGUGGAAUUCCCGGUGUAGCGGUGAAAUGCGUAGAGAUCGGGAGGAACAUCAGUGGCGAAGGCGGCCAUCUGGGACAACACUGACGCUGAGGCACGAAAGCGUGGGGAGCAAACAGGAUUAGAGACCCCCGUAGUCCCUGUCUCUUAUAA
Molecule: ribosomal RNA, 301 nt
Filed under: uncultured bacterium
Lineage: Bacteria
Description: partial 16S ribosomal RNA
Rfam family: Bacterial small subunit ribosomal RNA
Source: RNAcentral